Molecule: long non-coding RNA, 1553 nt
Filed under: Vitis vinifera (wine grape)
Lineage: Eukaryota; Viridiplantae; Streptophyta; Magnoliopsida; Vitales; Vitaceae
Description: long non-coding RNA (VVIN_LNC007780)
Source: RNAcentral
UUCCCACCAAUUCAUAGUUUGGAACUCCACUUAAUGAGGGAAAUCAAUCUCACCCAGCUUGUCCUGUGCUAUAAACAUUUACUGCAGCAAUCCAAUACUUAAGUGCCUAUUGGAGUAUGGAUGCAGCAGCACUCUUUUUUGUUGUUAGGUUAGUUUUCGGUCAUUCAAAUACCCUUAUGCUACUCCAAUCUCCUGGCGAUUCCACUUCAAGGUGUUUCCUUGAGAAUCGCCUAGAAUUGUUUAUUAAGGUAUAAGCCUCAAAACAUUAAGCAAUCUAGUCUUUGAUUGGACAUAUUUGAAGUGGUACAGACACAAAUAGUGGUUUCCAAUUUCCUCUCCACAAAUUAGAAUGAUCCGUGUUCCAAAUGACCUUGUAGUAUGGCUUGUGGCUACUUCUUGCCUUCCAAAUUUCAAACUUCUUGUUGCUCCAUUUUAAUAUUUGAUUGGUUUUAAUCUUGCUGACGACUGAUGUGAAUUUCCUGAUUCUUCGUUCUAGUAUUAGAUUUUGUGACAUGUUGAAAUUUGUCAUUUUCAUAAAAUUCCCUCUUGUUUGAUUGUUAUGUCAUGAGUGUCAGAUGCCAUUGAGGCAUCAUAAGUGAUAUUCCCAUUCUUGAUGUGUCCAAAUCAAGGUUCUAUUUAAUCUGCUCAACCUUUUUCUUGGUAACUCUGUAUUUUAAAGUGCCAACUUCUCAAAGAAAAUAAAAGCAUGUCGUUUCUACAAGUUCAAGUUAGCUGUUUUCAAGUCCUUUAAGUAAUGAUAGAUGAGAACUUACAAUUUAGAAUCCUUCUACAAGUUUAAGUUAGCCAUUUUCUAGUCCUUUAAGUACUUAUAGAUGUGAAAUUACAAUUUAGGAUCCUUCCCUCUUGCCUUUUUGUUUUUAAGAAAAAUGGAAUAUAUAUGCUAGCUUGUCUGGAAACUGCAAAACAGCAGAAAUCAUUGAAUGAUAUUGUCAGCAUGACAUUUGAUAAAGAAGAUGCUAUCAUAGAACUUACGUGUUUUAGAUAAGAAUGACCAUAAGCUGGAUACCCUGCAUCGCUAUUGAACAAUGUUGGAAUUUGUCAUCUUCUGCCAGAGCUAUGCCCAUAAUUGAUUACACCAGUACAUUUUUUAUGUAUAGAAUUGAAAUACUAUAGAAAUCAAAUAUUGAAUUAUGUUUUUCUCAUUAUUCUCUAUCACUUCAUCUUUCGUUCAAGGCUGAUUUUUGGACUGUUUUGUUUUCUGUUUCUUGUUUUUGUUUUUUCUGCUCUCCCUGUAUACCAUCAGUGUACUGGGGCUGCCCUCAUUUUUUCUAGGUGCUCUUAAUACCAUUUUUUAUUUACCUAUCAAAAACAAAUGUCACCAUGAUUCACCAUGAUAUUCCCCUGUGGUUUUGAUGCUUUCUUUUUUAGCUUCCUUUUCUUUUUAAAAACAUGGAAAAAAAUUUCCAAGCAAGUUAUGAAUUUGGUCAUUGGCUUAAACUCCACGUCAUGAAAGUGGAAUUGAUUUCUGGAAGUUUUGGUCGAAAGCUGGGGGGUUAGAAGUUCAAACAACAGGUAGCAUCGGCAUGGGCUUU